CCUACGGGAGGCAGCAGUGGGGAAUAUUGCACAAUGGGGGAAACCCUGAUGCCGCGACGCCGCGUGAGUUAAGAAGUAAUUCGUUAUGUAAAGCUCUAUCAGCAGGGAAGAAAAUGACGGUACCUGAGUAAGAAGCCCCGGCUAACUACGUGCCAGCAGCCGCGGUAAUACGUAGGGGGCAAGCGUUAUCCGGAUUUACUGGUUGUAAAGGGAGCGUAGACGGCAGUGCAAGUCUGGAGUGAAAGGCGGGGGCACAACCCCCGGACUGCAGUGGAAACUGUACGGCUGGAGUGCAGGAGAGGUAAGUGGAAUUGCUAGUGUAGCGGUGAAAUGCGUAGAUAUUAGGAGGAACACCAGUGGCGAAGGCGGCUUACUGGACUGUAACUGACGUUGAGGCUCGAAAGCGUGGGGAGCAAACAGGAUUAGAUACCCGUGUAGUC
Molecule: ribosomal RNA, 440 nt
Filed under: uncultured bacterium
Lineage: Bacteria
Description: partial 16S ribosomal RNA
Rfam family: Bacterial small subunit ribosomal RNA
Source: RNAcentral